This 348-nucleotide ribosomal RNA is filed under the name uncultured bacterium. Its description in RNAcentral is "partial 16S ribosomal RNA". It matches the Rfam family "Bacterial small subunit ribosomal RNA", at positions 338 to 701 of the family's 1533-position model. The record is from RNAcentral.
CCUACGGGUGGCAGCAGUGGGGGAUAUUGGACAAUGGGGGGAACCCUGAUCCAGCGACGCCGCGUGAGUGAAGAAGUACCUCGGUAUGUAAAGCUCUAUCAGCAGGGAAGAAGAAAUGACGGUACCUGCGUAUGUAGCUCUGGCUAACUACGUGCCAGCAGCCGCGGUAAUACGUAGGGGGCAAGCGUUAUCCGGAAUUACUGGGUGUAAAGGGAGCGUAGACGGUGAUGUAAGUCUGGAGUGAAAGGCGGGGGCGCAACCCCCGGACUGCUCUGGAAACUAUGUGACUGGAGUGCAGGAGAGGGGAGCGGAAUUCCUGGGGUAGCGGGGAAAUGCGUAGAUAAUAGG